This 675-nucleotide ribosomal RNA is filed under the name uncultured Planctomycetota bacterium. RNAcentral's name for it is "bacterial SSU rRNA". It matches the Rfam family "Bacterial small subunit ribosomal RNA", at positions 65 to 764 of the family's 1533-position model. The record is from RNAcentral. Lineage: Bacteria; Pseudomonadati; Planctomycetota.
AGCGGGAUUGUUUCUUUUGCUUGCAUUUGAAACAUGAGAGCGGCGAAAGGGAGAGUAACACGUAGAUACGUACCCAGGGGUUCGGGAUAGCGGCGGGAAACUGCCGGUAAUACCGAAUAAUGUCUCCGGACCAAAGAUUUAUUGCCCGUGGAGCGGUCUGCGUCCUAUUAGCUUGUUGGUGAGGUAACGGCUCACCAAGGCGAUGAUGGGUAGCGGGUGUGAGAGCAUGGCCCGUCUCACUGGGACUGAGAUACUGCCCAGACACCUACGGGUGGCUGCAGUCGAGAAUCUUCCGCAAUGGACGAAAGUCUGACGGAGCGACGCCGCGUGCGGGAUGAAGGCCUUCGGGUUGUAAACCGCUGUCGCAGGGGAGGAAAUUUUGACCGAUCCUGGGAGGAAGCACAGGCUAAGUUCGUGCCAGCAGCCGCGGUAAUACGAACUGUGCGAACGUUAUUCGGAAUCACCGGGCUUAAAGGGUGCGUAGGCGGCUAUAAAGGUCAGGUGUGAAAUCCCACGGCUCAACCGUGGAACUGCGCUUGAAACCGUAUAGCUUGAGGGAGUCAGAGGUAAGCGGAACUGAUGGUGGGAGCGGUGAAAUGCGUUGAUAUUAUCAGGAACACCGGUGGCGAAAGCGGCUUACUGGGACUUUUCUGACGCUGAGGCACGAAAGCCAGG